This 283-nucleotide long non-coding RNA is filed under the name Lathyrus oleraceus (garden pea). Its description in RNAcentral is "Pisum sativum (pea) long non-coding RNA (PSAT_LNC014867)". Lineage: Eukaryota; Viridiplantae; Streptophyta; Magnoliopsida; Fabales; Fabaceae. The record is from RNAcentral.
GAGUGAUUGAUAUCCCUUGAAAAAGCUUCCAUUUUCCCAUUUGACCUCCGUCUUUCCCGUCAAAUCUAACUUCUAUCAGGUACUCUCCUUACCAUUAGCUUUUCCAUUUAUUCAGAAUGUCCUUUAUUGUAUCCAUUAUGAGCGAUAGCCCUGUAUAUUUGUCUAGCAACUAUGGGAGUGAUGAAUCCUCCAUAGUUAGGUUGGGAGUAUCUUUUGGUUCGAACACUUCUCACUUCUCACGUAAUCACUAACCAUUCAACCCACGAAGUCAUGCAUAUAAUCG